UUUUUUGAAGGUGGGGCCUGAGAACGGCUACCACAUCCAAGGAAGGCAGCAGGCGCGCAAAUUACCCACUCCCGGCACGGGGAGGUAGUGACGAAAAAUAACGAUACGGGACUCAUCCGAGGCCCCGUAAUCGGAAUGAGUACACUCUAAAGACUUUAACGAGUAUCCAUUGGAGGGCAAGUCUGGUGCCAGCAGCCGCGGUAAUUCCAGCUCCAAUAGCGUAUAUUAAAGCUGUUGCGGUUAAAAAGCUCGUAGUCGGACUUGUGUCCCACGCUGCCGGUUCACCGCCCGUCGGUGUUUAACUGGCACGCACGUGCGGACGUCCUGCCGGUGGCCCGAGCCGGCGCUCGCGGGUGAGGGGGCGGUAACGUCCUCAAACCCCGGGUCGUUUCGGGGAGGGCCUACACAAUCCCGUCGCGGUGCUCUUGACCGAGUGUCUCGAUGGGCCGGCACGUUUACUUUGAACAAAUUAGAGUGCUUAAAGCAGGCAGCAGCCGCCUGAAUACCGAGUGCAUGGAAUAAUGGAAUAGGACCUCGGUUCUAUUUUGUUGGUUUUCGGAAUCCCCGAGGUAAUGAUCAAAAGGGACAGACGGUGGGCAUUCGUAUUGCGACGUAGGAUAAUAGUUACCACCCAC
RNAcentral lists this ribosomal RNA (635 nucleotides) under Psammotermes sp. Its description in RNAcentral is "SSU rRNA". It matches the Rfam family "Eukaryotic small subunit ribosomal RNA", at positions 379 to 929 of the family's 1831-position model. Lineage: Eukaryota; Metazoa; Arthropoda; Insecta; Blattodea; Rhinotermitidae. The record is from RNAcentral.